Molecule: ribosomal RNA, 432 nt
Filed under: uncultured bacterium
Lineage: Bacteria
Description: partial 16S ribosomal RNA
Rfam family: Bacterial small subunit ribosomal RNA
Source: RNAcentral
AACGAACGCUGGCGGCAGGCCUAACACAUGCAAGUCGAGCGAGGACUUCGGUCCUAGCGGCGGACGGGUGAGUAACGCGUGGGAACGUGCCCUUUGCUUCGGAAUAGCCCUGGGAAACUGGGAGUAAUACCGGAUGAGCCCUUUGGGGGAAAGAUUUAUCGGCGAAGGAUCGGCCCGCGUUGGAUUAGGUAGUUGGUGGGGUAAUGGCCUACCAAGCCGACGAUCCAUAGCUGGUUUGAGAGGAUGAUCAGCCACACUGGGACUGAGACACGGCCCAGACUCCUACGGGAGGCAGCAGUGGGGAAUCUUAGACAAUGGGGGAAACCCUGAUCUAGCCAUGCCGCGGGAGCGAUGAAGGCCUUAGGGUUGUAAAGCUCUUUCAGCUGGGAAGAUAAUGACGGUACCAGCAGAAGAAGCCCCGGCUAACUCCGG